GAAGGAUCCUUAAAGAAAAACCUUAGCUUUUUUAUUGUGAAUGCAAAUUUUGCUUGGGUCGAGAAAUUGGCCCACAAACUAAUUAAAUUUUGUGGGUUUUAAAAUUAAAAAAAUUAAAACUUUCAACAACGGAUCUCUUGGUUCUCGCAUCGAUGAAGAACGCAGCGAAACGCGAUAUGUAAUGUGAAUUGCAGAAUGUGAAUCAUCGAAUCUUUGAACGCACAUUGCGCCCUCUGGUAUUCCAGAGGGCAUACCUGUUUGAGCGUCAGUUCUUUCUCAAAGGAAACUUUGGUAUUGGCUGAAUAAGAGUAUCGGCUUAAAGAAAUUGGUUAGAAAUGAUGUAAUAAGAUUUCAUCAGGCUAACUGUAAAACUUUUUUAACGUUGACCUCAAAUCAGGUAAAACUCCCCGCUGAACUUAACCAUAUCAUUAAGCGGAGAAAA
This 442-nucleotide ribosomal RNA is filed under the name [Candida] sp. GA3M12. Its description in RNAcentral is "eukaryotic LSU rRNA". The stretch from base 118 to 268 matches the Rfam family "5.8S ribosomal RNA". Lineage: Eukaryota; Fungi; Ascomycota; Saccharomycetes; Saccharomycetales. The record is from RNAcentral.